GAUAUCGCUUUUAUCCCUCCAAGGGUAAAAGAAAUGGAUAAACUUCGACCCAAAUGCUGGCUUGUACUUACUCAUCAAAUCAAAGACAACGAUAUGUUUUAUAACAACCUAGUUACUGGUUGCGUUUACAUAUGUCAAUGUGCAAGCAACUCGCAACUACAACUCACACGUCUCCGUUUGAAGAAUAUAAGAUAUUAUCGUCUCAUGAUCACUCGUGAUAAAAUCCAUGAAGUGAUUCAAAUGAGCGUUGGUUGAAUCCAAUACUCGAAUCUCAUUCCAAGAUCACUCAUGAACACUACAACCACUUUGUCCCAGACAAACUACAGACUCAUUCAUGACAGUCUUGCCUCAAUACCUACUUCCAAAUUAUAAUCGAAUGUGGAUGGUUUGAGUAACUUAGUUAUUCAGGAAGUCAAAACAUGCAAUGUGAAACACAAGAAUAAUCGAAUCCAAUAUGGUCUCAAAACUUAUGAAUAUAAAUAAAACACCUUUUAUUUAAUCACCAUGUUGAUUACACAUUAUUCAUUGCAUAAUGUUUCAAAUAAUGAGCUUAAUACUUGAAUUAAAACAAUAGUUGUCCCAUGCACACUAUGUUUUCUAAAUAAUAGUUAUACCAUACUCUAAGUAUGCACACUAUGUUUGUCUAUGUUUGUCACAGAUAUCGCUUUUAUCACUCCAAAGGUAAAAGAAAUGGAUAAACUUCGACCCAAAUGCUCGCUUGUACUUACUCAUCAAAUCAAACACAACGAUAUGUUUUAUAACAACCAAGUUACUGGUUGCGUUUACAUAUGUCAAUGUGCAAGCAACUCGCAACUACAACUCACACAUCUCUGUUUGAAGAAUAUAAGAUAUUAUCGUCUCAUGAUCACUCGUGAUAAAAUCCAUGAAGUGAUUCAAAUGAGCAUUGGUUGAAUCCAAUACUCGAAUCUCAUUCCAAGAUCACUCGUGAACACUACAACCACUUUGUCCCAGACAAACUACAUACUCAUUCAUGACAGUCUUGCCUCAAUACCUACUUCCAAAUUAUAAUCGACUGUGGAUGGUUUGAAUAACUUAGUUAUUCAGGAAGUCAAAACUUGCAAUGUGNUAGACGACGCGCAAAAGCGCGUCGUCUCUCUUUAUGACAGGGCCUUCCUUGACGCGCAUUUGCGCGUCGUCUGAGCGUUUUACGACGCGCAAUGAGCGUCGUAAAAGGCUGUUUUUCUAGUAGUGAAAACAUAACUCAUGACUUUAUUUAAUCACCAGAUUGAUUACACAUUAUUCAUUGCAUAAUGUUUCAAAUAAUGAGCUUAAUACUUGAAUUAAAACAAUAUUUGUCCCAUGCACACUAUGUUUUCUAAACAAUAGUUAUACCAUACUCUAAGUAUGCACACUAUGUUUAUCU
RNAcentral lists this long non-coding RNA (1384 nucleotides) under Lactuca sativa (garden lettuce). RNAcentral describes it as "long non-coding RNA (LSAT_LNC002719)". The record is from RNAcentral. Lineage: Eukaryota; Viridiplantae; Streptophyta; Magnoliopsida; Asterales; Asteraceae.